AGUGAACGCUGGCGGUAGGCCUAACACAUGCAAGUCGAACGGCAGCACAGUAAGAGCUUGCUCUUACGGGUGGCGAGUGGCGGACGGGUGAGGAAUACAUCGGACUCUACUUUUUCGUGGGGGAUAACGUAGGGAAACUUACGCUAAUACCGCAUACGACCUACGGGUGAAAGCAGGGGAUCUUCGGACCUUGCGCGAUUGAAUGAGCCGAUGUCGGAUUAGCUAGUUGGCGGGGUAAAGGCCCACCAAGGCGACGAUCCGUAGCUGGUCUGUGAGGAUGAUAGGCCACACUGGAACUGAGACACGGUCCAGACUCCUACGGGAGGCAGCAGUGGGGAAUAUUGGACAAUGGGCGCAAGCCUGAUCCAGCCAUACCGCGUGGGUGAAGAAGGCCUUCGGGUUGUAAAGCCCUUUUGUUGGUAAAGAAAAGCAGCAGGUUAAUACCCCGCUGUUCUGACGGUACCCAAAGAAUAAGCACCGGCUAACUUCGUG
RNAcentral lists this ribosomal RNA (492 nucleotides) under uncultured bacterium. RNAcentral describes it as "partial 16S ribosomal RNA". It matches the Rfam family "Bacterial small subunit ribosomal RNA", at positions 29 to 507 of the family's 1533-position model. The record is from RNAcentral.